UUCCAGACUCCUACGGGAGGCAGCAGUGAGGAAUAUUGGUCAAUGGGCGGAAGCCUGAACCAGCCAAGUCGCGUGAGGGAAGAAGGCCCUGCGGGUCGCAGACCUCUUUGGACGGGGAGCAAGGCCGCCGACGCGUCGGCGGAAGGAGAGUACCCGUAGAACAAGCAUCGGCUAACUCCGUGCCAGCAGCCGCGGUAAUACGGAGGAUGCGAGCGUUAUCCGGAUUUAUUGGGUUUAAAGGGUGCGCAGGCGGCACGGCAAGCCGGCGGUCAAAUCGCGGGGCUCAACCCCGCCCAGCCGUCGGAGCUGCCGGGCUAGAGUGGGCGAGAAGUGCGCGGAAUGCGUGGUGUAGCGGUGAAAUGCAUAGAUAUACGGAGGAACACCAGUGGCAAAGGCGGAUUGCUGGACAGUAACUGACGCUGAGGCGCGAAAGCGUGGGGAGCAAACAGGAUUAGAUACCCGAGUA
RNAcentral lists this ribosomal RNA (466 nucleotides) under uncultured bacterium. Its description in RNAcentral is "bacterial SSU rRNA". It matches the Rfam family "Bacterial small subunit ribosomal RNA", at positions 329 to 792 of the family's 1533-position model. The record is from RNAcentral.